This 253-nucleotide ribosomal RNA is filed under the name uncultured bacterium. Its description in RNAcentral is "partial 16S ribosomal RNA". It matches the Rfam family "Bacterial small subunit ribosomal RNA", at positions 524 to 776 of the family's 1533-position model. The record is from RNAcentral.
UACGGGGGGGGUAAGCGUUGUUCGGAAUUACUGGGCGUAAAGGGCUCGUAGGCGGCCAACUAAGUCGGACGUGAAAUCCCUCAGCUUAACUGGGGAACUGCGUCUGAUACUGGAUGGCUUGGAUUUGGGAGAGGGAUGCGGAAUUCCAGGUGUAGCGGUGAAAUGCGUAGAUAUCUGGAGGAACACCGGUGGCGAAGGCGGCAUCCUGGACCGAGAUUGACGCUGAGGCACGAAGGCCAGGGGAGCAAACGGG